ACACAUAAAUCUGAUACACAACUGUAGCCAGCAGAACACUGUCUCACAACUCAGAAUAACUAUUACAUUUGAAGAACAGAACAGGAACGCUAACAGAGAGUGCAUAGAGGCAUGCCCUAAUCUAAUUUUCCAUUAUAGUACAAUAACAAAUAUAAUAACUAAUUAUCAUAGAUAUAUAUCUAAAUGUUAAAUCUGAUGCUUGGUGAAAAUAAAUAUUAAUUCACACUGCUGGCCAAAUACAAAAAUUAGAGCUUAAAGAAGUGAUCCAGCGCUAUCCACCAUCUCCUUCAGGUGGUUAGACUGUGUGACUGCACUCCACUGCCAGUCAACCUGCCACCAUGGAUGUUUGAUACAUCCAUUCACUAGCAAGGACCACGCCAUCAACAAAAUGCGUUUAACAAGAUGCAUUUAUUCAUAAACAAUAAUGGAAAUGGUAGUGAUGUGUGAGAUGAAGAAGGAUUCUUGAGUCCAUGUUGCAUUGUGGAGUAGCUUUGGGGUGGGAAUCCGCCAAGGUUGGGCAUAUCUGAGAUCUGGGAGUAAUGAGCUCAUAGAUCCAUAUUAUCCCAAUAGAUCACUCUGUAAACUCAGGACUACUUGUGGUUCCUAUUGUCUAAAACUAGAAUGGGAGGCAGAGCUUUCAGCAGCCAGGCUCAUCUCCUCUGGAACCACCUCCCAGGAAGCAGACACCCUCUCUAAAUUUAAGUUCGCGGCAGAUGGCCCCACGACUGAGUCCAGUUCUACUAGAAAUUUCUUCCAGUUAAAACCGUUUUUACUCCACAGUCGCCAAGUGCUUGAUUACUGUGGCAACUGUUGGGUUUCUUGGUAAUAUUGUGAGGUCUCGACCUUACAAGUCACAUAUACUGAAACAGUUUAUGGAGUAAAUGUGUGGAAUGGUUUAGAAAUGGAAAUGAAAGUGUGUAAAACACAAUCGAUUUAAAAAAAUAUUUAAACACAAUAUGAUUAACAAAGAUAAAACCGAAGUAUGAUCA
Long non-coding RNA from Scophthalmus maximus (turbot), 989 nucleotides. RefSeq lists it as uncharacterized. The transcript is spliced from 3 exons. Lineage: Eukaryota; Metazoa; Chordata; Actinopteri; Pleuronectiformes; Scophthalmidae. The record is from RefSeq and is a predicted model, not a curated record.